GUACACGCCACUCUACACAAGGGAUGAUGCCCAUCUACUCCAGUAAAGCAAACCAGAGGGGACUUUAUAGAAAAUUAAACUUUACAGACAAGAAGGAUAGCGACAUGGUGAAGAGAAGGGGCAUGUAUUGGGAGAGGCAAAGAAAGAAGGGGCAGAUGAAAGAGGAACAGGCAGAGAUAAAAGAGAAUGGAUGGACAGAUUAAAGGGGAAUGUAGAAAGGGAAGAAGGAUGGGUAAAUAAAGGGGCAUAUGCAAAAGGGACAUUAAAGGAAAAAUCAAAAGGGGCCUAAUUAAAUAUAUUAUAAACUAUUAGUCAAGAGAAGUUUAGGGGACAAGAAAAAAAAAACGCACAGACCACGAUGAAAGUCUCUUGACUGGUGUAUUAUCUAUAUAAUACUUUAUAAAUUACAUUACAAUUAAAUUAUAUCAUACAUUACAACUGUGGCCAUUACCUGCAUUUUGAGUCUCCUUAUGUUGUUUUUUUUCUUUUUUCAAUUCAUUUUUGACGUGCAUGAGGGUAACAAGCAUUCUCGCUAUGCCACAACAGUAAAAGCGAGAUAAGAAUAAACAAUAAGUUUAACAGUCUAGGCAUAUUGGUAUGACUGCACACAUUUUUUGUUUUUGUAUGAAACAAGCAUAGACUUAAAGUUACAACACAAACUGAACAUUUUUCGAUAAGUAUAAUGAAUAGAUAUAUGCAAGAUAAACCUGUCAGGGUGUAGCUAAACACAAGAUAUGCACAUAGAUGAGGGAUUCCUAACAGGUUAUUUGAUAUGGUGAGAAGUAUACAAGAGUAUGUUGAGAUCAAGCUAGGUAAGCAUGUCUAGAGACCAGAGCUAUAUGUGCAAGCAUAGAUGACAUUCUAGACAUGGUGUUUGCUACACAAUAUUAAGUGUGAAAGCACUGACUGACAGUAGAUUUAACGAAUAGGAGAGAGAGGUACAACUGGAUAUUUUAGAGUAAACCACCAUUGCUGGUCAAUCCACUAGGUAAAAUAUCUAUUAGAGUGUGCUUAACAGCUUAUAAGUACCGCUGAAUACCGCUUUAGGUAGAAAGUGAAUGAAUGCAGGUGUGGAGUAAUCUAACUCUGUGGUGCCAGUCUGCUGGGGUGUCCUUUUAGGAGCUUUCAGCCCACUCCACAUAGAGGCUUUGGGGGAGAGUCCUUCUCCAUGGCGAGCGGAACCUGUGUGAGAAUAGCCAGGUAGUGUUUGGGGCUGACUUCCCUCCCGCCCUGGAUCAUUGUAGGGGCCAGCACCACUGAGCCACGGACUCGGGGGCUCUGUGAGUCCAAGUCCUUUCCACAAGUGGGGUUGCAUGAGGUCCUGAUGUUGCGACACCGGUUCGGGCCAGUGGGCCUCCGCUUACGUGGACGGUGCAUCCGGGGUAGACCCUUGGUGGCCCUCAAUCCAGGAGGGCAGUUUCUGCGUGGGACAGAAGUGUGCACGAAGCUCGUGUCCGGAGGGGGCCUUUUGCUGCUUUCUUUUCCCGGCUCUGCUCCCCAGAUGCUGCGGGUAAGUAGGUAGGUGGGCAGGGGCUGCCAUGCGUUCCCUUAGUUAGGCCCAGAACUUGUCAAAUAUAGCCUCCAGUGAGGUCAUUGGGCAGCUGUGGCCUCCGGGGCUGUCAUUCUGGUGUUGCUGUAAGUCACUGGGUUGAGGCUUGGACGCGUCCGCCAUUUUGAUGUCAGGAGCUUCGCUGGAGAGGCUAGUAGUUUCCUCCAUGGAUGACCC
RNAcentral lists this long non-coding RNA (1726 nucleotides) under Pelobates cultripes (western spadefoot toad). Lineage: Eukaryota; Metazoa; Chordata; Amphibia; Anura; Pelobatidae. The record is from RNAcentral.